GUGGGAAAAAUCAGUGUACAAGUGAGGAAUCGCUUCUUAUUGUGGUUUAUAAGAAAUGCGAGUUUUGCAUUAAUUUAUUUAAUUUUAUAAAAUGUUGUGUACAAAUGUGUUGUGUACUUGCUACACUAAUAAUUGGGAAGUCGAGACGAGUAAGUUAGGGAGGCCAUCCCAGAGAUUACCGGAGGAGGAGGAGGAGGAGGAGGAGGAGGACAGCCACUGCCGCCCGUGUUUGGAAAGAGGAAAGCAGGCAAACUCUAAGAGGAGCUAUCAGUUGUCCCCCGUCAUUCCCCAAUCGCUUUUGGGGCUUUAGUCUUUGCAGAUUCCUUCCCUUUUUAAGUCACAUUUAUCACCAACUCCAGUACUUCAGGAGCAAUGUCAACAGCAGAAACAUGUCUGUUUUUGAAGACAAUCAAGUUCCUAGCUCUCCACAACUGAUUUAUAACAGCAGCAAACACCACUCUCCUUAUGGAUGGAGUAAAAGAGGUAAAGAUUAAAGAAAGAAGCCCCCAGCUGAUUCAUGGCUUUGUUUAUUUGCAGAAUAAAUCAGUUCUUGGAGAAAUGGGAGGAGGUGGCAGGAUUAGGUUAUGAUGUUUUAUUUGUUCGUCCUGUUAAAACAUAUUUGUCUUGAUGAUCAGUCUAAUUGCUUUUUAAUUGGCAUUUUGAUUUUGGUAAGAGAUGAAAGGUAAUGAUCAUCGAGAGCUAGGUCUGACUGCAGCAAGCAAAUGUGUUUCAAUUUUGUUGUUAUUAUGUUCUUAUUCCCCAAGACUGUCUUAGUGGUCAAACAUUAUAGUAGGAGGAGGAAUGCCCACUUUUUAUCUUCCGAUUGCUACUAAUGGCUGAUGGUAAGUUGGUAACUGAAACCUACUUUGAUGGUGAGCGACAGGCCCCUGUUAGUAGCUAACUACUACUAUUUUUUAUCUCAUAACACUCCCUAAUAUGAUGCUGAAUUUCCCGUA
Molecule: long non-coding RNA, 956 nt
Organism: Coffea arabica (coffee)
Lineage: Eukaryota; Viridiplantae; Streptophyta; Magnoliopsida; Gentianales; Rubiaceae
Source: RefSeq, a predicted model, not a curated record